This 1380-nucleotide long non-coding RNA is filed under the name Malus domestica (apple). RNAcentral describes it as "long non-coding RNA (MDOM_LNC016453)". The record is from RNAcentral. Lineage: Eukaryota; Viridiplantae; Streptophyta; Magnoliopsida; Rosales; Rosaceae.
CAAUUGUAACACCGAUUAGGUUGGGUGGCAAUGGGCCUCAAGGCAGACCAACAUAGUUGCGUACAAGAUUGCAUAGCCUUAAGUAGAAAUCGAAAACUUGGUACGUUUACCAAAAUCCGGGCGAUCAUUUAAAUUACGCUUUAUGAUCACUAGACGAGGCUAUUUAGGGUGAUCAUGGGAAUUUAAUGUUCAAUUAUAAACCCAAAAUAUAUGCAAUACUUUAUUGAAAACCAUCGUUAUAAACUUCCGGCAUUAUCCAGUCUCCCAGACUUUAUGGGAUAAGUAGGGUGGUGAACCUUUAAAAUCGGCCAGGAGGUUUAGCUGCAAUGUGUGUGGACAAACAUGUGACCAGUUUGUUGAUUUAUCAACCAAAACCAUAAGUAUUAUAUGGUCUAUAUUUUGGUUAGAUUAGUCUACAUAUAUUCCCUUGAAUCCACCGUGAAAAGAGGGUUGUUUCGUAUCUUUGUGAGGGAUGCUUUAGAAAAUCAAUUUCCCUAAUAAGUUGGCUUGGCAAUGUGUGCUUGUAGGCAUAAGAUCCUUACUUCGGGUAAGGAGAUGCUUUAUGGCAUCAUUGUUUGACCCAAGUGUCCCAAAUGGUUGUGCCAAAGCAAGUAAACUGCUCGAAUCACCCAGCUUCAGGCCGGCCCCAUAUGGCGUGUUCCCAGUUGGGAGGCAGCUCAUUGGCCCCAAAACAAAGCUUCAGUGAUUUCAUUUAUGAUCAAUGUCAUUUGGAAUAUCCUUAAAAACCCAAAACGGUGAGAAUAUAAGGUCUCUUAAAUGGUAAUUUAGUACCAUUCAUACAAUGAAGAGCGUGCCAAUGCUCUUAAUCAGGUUGGAUAAACCUGAAGUCGUUGCUAGAGAAGUGAUUUAGGUGUAAAGUUAGUGUGCGUAGUAUCGCAUUCAUCCAGACAACUAACUUUCCGACAUUCCUACCUAAUCACGUGUUUAAUUGAAUUUGGUCACAUAUAUACAAGAAACAUGAUUCAAUUAACUCAUAUUCGAGGACAAUAUCAAUACGAUUAUCCAUAACUAAAACAUACACCAAACUUGAAUCCAAGACCAUGGAAAAAUGUUCACAAAGUAAACCAAAGUUACUAUGGUGGAUUCGGCCAACAAGGCCAUUCAUGUCAACGGUGUUAGGUGGAGCAAAAUUAUUCUCACAUAUUGACUAGUAGAAUGGUACUCCUUAACAACAUUGGUAGGGGCACGAACAGGUGCAUAACCAAUGAUUUAUUCCAGCAAGACGGAAGUAAGUUUAAGGUUUGGGAAUAUUAUCCCUUAUUCUUGAAGUUUUAGGUCUUAGGUGCCAAGGAUCACACUUUGGGCAUGAUGCCAUACAUUGGCAUGCCCUGAUUCUACCAUAAGUUGUAAAAAGAAACU